This is a non-coding RNA of Macaca mulatta (Rhesus monkey), 735 nucleotides long. The record is from RefSeq and is a predicted model, not a curated record. NCBI's taxonomy places the organism in Eukaryota, Metazoa, Chordata, Mammalia, Primates, Cercopithecidae.
GAGAAUAUGGAGCUCACCAGAAUACAUUAAGAGCUUGCAGAACGCUCAGUGGCCAAGCUGUUGGAAGACUCCCCAGGACUUCUAAUCUGGCAGGAAGACUGACACAUUCCUAAAUGAGACUUUGAAUAAUUAUUUAAGAGACAUGUGAUUUUAAUUGUUACCUUUGGACUUUCCAGAUACUGCUAAAAUAACAAUUCUGCCAUUAGCACCUUAGCCCUAGGGUAGAAGCGAAUUUCACCUGGAGCAAACUUCCUAAUAUGGAGAGGGAAGGGAAAGUGCGGGGACAUGGAGAGAUCUGGGAUGGGAGGCAGCCCCAGUUCUGUCAUUAACUGGGGAUUUGGGAUGUUUGCCCACUGGGCUCCUGCUCUGUAAGAUGCACUUCAUUUAAGCCUUAAGCUGCUGGUCUUCUGGGAUCACUGAGAGCAACAAAAGGUACCAUGGAGGUCCAUAAAAGCCCCCAGCUCAGCCACAGCAAGCAGAGGAUGAAUAAAACAGAGACACAAUGGGAAACCAGCUGCAGAGAGGAGCUACCCUCUCUGCUAAGAGCUUCAGACACCUGCAGAGAUGUCCAGACUACCAGCUGCAGAGAGAAACAGUCCUCUCCAGGCAUCCUCUCUGGUGGGAGCUUGAUACUUGAUGGGACAACCUGCCUACAGAGAGGAGCCACCCACUGCAGGUCUCCUCUGAGCUGUCGUAACACUUAAUAAAACUCCUUUUCAUCUUGUUCACCCUUCA